This 497-nucleotide ribosomal RNA is filed under the name uncultured bacterium. RNAcentral's name for it is "partial 16S ribosomal RNA". It matches the Rfam family "Bacterial small subunit ribosomal RNA", at positions 28 to 507 of the family's 1533-position model. The record is from RNAcentral.
GAUGAACGCUGGCGGCGUGCCUAAUACAUGCAAGUCGAGCGAACAGACGAGGAGCUUGCUCCUCUGACGUUAGCGGCGGACGGGUGAGUAACACGUGGAUAACCUACCUAUAAGACUGGGAUAACUUCGGGAAACCGGAGCUAAUACCGGAUAAUAUAUUGAACCGCAUGGUUCAAUAGUGAAAGACGGUUUUGCUGUCACUUAUAGAUGGAUCCGCGCCGCAUUAGCUAGUUGGUAAGGUAACGGCUUACCAAGGCAACGAUGCGUAGCCGACCUGAGAGGGUGAACGGCCACACUGGAACUGAGACACGGUACAGACUCCUACGGGAGGCAGCAGUAGGGAAUCGUCCGCAAUGGGCGAAAGCCUGACGGAGCAACGCCGCGUGAGUGAUGAAGGUCUUCGGAUCGUAAAACUCUGUUAUUAGGGAAGAACAAAUGUGUAAGUAACUAUGCACGUCUUGACGGUACCUAAUCAGAAAGCCACGGCUAACUACGUG